UUUGCAUUCAGUGGUUUUGAAAAAGCAGUCAAUUAAUUAUAUGCUAUUUUGCAUCUUUUUAAGCAAUGAAGAUUAAAAAUUGAAGCAAAUAAAACCUUAAUCAUAAGAAAAAUACUUCAACAAUUACUUUCAAGGCAUAUAAAAUAAAUAGAGAAAAAAAACAAAUGAUUAAGAUCUAUACAAAAUCACUGAAAAGCUGUGGCAUCUUGCAUUACCACAUAAUUUUUCAUUAAAAAGAAAUUUUCGACCUACAGAUUCUAGUGUAAAUGAAUUGACUAGAAAGGGAAUCUCUCAUAGGUAAACUAACACCAAUGUAGUUAAAAAAAUUAAUCAGGAGAAGAAGAGGGAGGUAGAAGAAAAAUGAAGAUAGAGAGGUUUAUAUUGAACUGCUUCAAAAUGUUGAAUAUCUUUGACCAAUUGCUUCAACACCAUAAAAAGAUGAAGAGAAAAAGCUUAC
Molecule: unclassified non-coding RNA, 457 nt
Filed under: Hevea brasiliensis (rubber tree)
Lineage: Eukaryota; Viridiplantae; Streptophyta; Magnoliopsida; Malpighiales; Euphorbiaceae
Source: RNAcentral